This 670-nucleotide ribosomal RNA is filed under the name Bacillus anthracis (anthrax bacterium). Its description in RNAcentral is "bacterial SSU rRNA". It matches the Rfam family "Bacterial small subunit ribosomal RNA", at positions 46 to 701 of the family's 1533-position model. The record is from RNAcentral. Lineage: Bacteria; Bacillati; Bacillota; Bacilli; Caryophanales; Bacillaceae.
GCUAUAAUGCAGUCGAGCGAUGGAUUAAGAGCUUGCUCUUAUGAAGUUAGCGGCGGACGGGUGAGUAACACGUGGGUAACCUGCCCAUAAGACUGGGAUAACUCCGGGAAACCGGGGCUAAUACCGGAUAACAUUUUGAACUGCAUGGUUCGAAAUUGAAAGGCGGCUUCGGCUGUCACUUAUGGAUGGACCCGCGUCGCAUUAGCUAGUUGGUGAGGUAACGGCUCACCAAGGCAACGAUGCGUAGCCGACCUGAGAGGGUGAUCGGCCACACUGGGACUGAGACACGGCCCAGACUCCUACGGGAGGCAGCAGUAGGGAAUCUUCCGCAAUGGACGAAAGUCUGACGGAGCAACGCCGCGUGAGUGAUGAAGGCUUUCGGGUCGUAAAACUCUGUUGUUAGGGAAGAACAAGUGCUAGUUGAAUAAGCUGGCACCUUGACGGUACCUAACCAGAAAGCCACGGCUAACUACGUGCCAGCAGCCGCGGUAAUACGUAGGUGGCAAGCGUUAUCCGGAAUUAUUGGGCGUAAAGCGCGCGCAGGUGGUUUCUUAAGUCUGAUGUGAAAGCCCACGGCUCAACCGUGGAGGGUCAUUGGAAACUGGGAGACUUGAGUGCAGAAGAGGAAAGUGGAAUUCCAUGUGUAGCGGUGAAAUGCGUAGAGAUAUGG